This is a long non-coding RNA of Gasterosteus aculeatus aculeatus (three-spined stickleback), 937 nucleotides long. NCBI's taxonomy places the organism in Eukaryota, Metazoa, Chordata, Actinopteri, Perciformes, Gasterosteidae. The record is from Ensembl.
CCCUUUUCCAUCACGAUUUCAUUCUGUUAUAGAUAUCAAAGAUUUAAGUUGCUCUUCGAGAACCGUUCAGCUUCCAACCUGAAUUACAACUGAAUACCACUUUGUAAAUACAAACUCAGUGCAACAAAAUAACUGAAAUAUCGGAAACCAGGGGACAAAAUGCAACACGGUUAAACAUGUUGAAUCUCUGUUGCAGAUCGCCAAGAUAUACGGAAGUGUCUGUAACAAAAAUUUGGGUUAUUAAAUGCUAAGAUGUUCAUUAACAAGCCCGAUCACAUAUCGCCGUCCCUCAGUUGGCGGUGAAACUGCGAGCAGGAGUUGCUCGCAGGAAGCAGUCGAAGCACACGAUGAACAGAGAGUGAACUGGUCAGAAGACGAAUGCACUAAUAUGUGUCACACAUUCCUCUCCGUCUGCUCAGCUCACAGUCAUAAUGGAAGCGGCCCUUUGCACUCGUUUGGAGGGAAAACAGCCCGGCUGCCAACAUCUGACUCAGAUAAAAUGAGAAGGGCCUUCGGGUUUCUCUUUUUACAUCGUGCAUCCACUCCGAAUGAUUAGAGGGUCAGACACCCACAAAGGCCUGGGCCCACAAUAGCCAGAGGGAGGCUGGAACAGGACGGGACAAAGGCACACUGAAGUGCUUGGUCAAAGCUGACAGGGCAGCUGAGUCAUCACUGAUGAUGCUCAAAUUGAUCAUUUGCAAAGAUUGUCACAUUGUUUUUUUGAGUUUUGAGUAAAUGUUAACAGGUUUUAUUAUUUUCUUCAUGACAGUUACUUCGGGACCAUGUGUAACAGAGGACAUUUAUAUAUGUUUUAAACAUGUCAGUUUUCCUGUUGCAAUGACAUUCAUUAUUUUUCUUUCAUGGAAUUUAGUUUAGUAACUUUUUCUGCGAGACAUCAGACUCAUUUAGAAUCAGAAUCAGAAGCCAUUCACCGCCA